RNAcentral lists this ribosomal RNA (345 nucleotides) under Triticum aestivum (bread wheat). Its description in RNAcentral is "partial small subunit ribosomal RNA". Lineage: Eukaryota; Viridiplantae; Streptophyta; Magnoliopsida; Poales; Poaceae. The record is from RNAcentral.
AUGACAACAGUGGAUCUGAAAAAUCUUGGGUACACUGACGAACCGUUCGUCCUAGCCAAUGAUGUGGCACAAGUUAUCUAUGUGAAGGACAUGUCUACAAAACCGAGAAAAAGAAAAGAUAAGGAAGCGAAUACAUCAUACUAUGAGCCAAAGCGCCACAUAGUUCUUUCAGGAAAAAGGGACAUCGUGGGAGUGGAGGGCAAGACAGACAUGUCUGAAGAUUAUCAAAAGUUUCAUGAAAUUCCUCCCUUCAAAGUCAAGGCUGACCCAAGCAUCCUGAUAAACGAUGAAGAUUAUCCAUGGUUACGGCGCAAUAAGCAAAUGACACAAGCGAAGAAAAAGUGA